This 480-nucleotide ribosomal RNA is filed under the name uncultured bacterium. RNAcentral describes it as "SSU rRNA". It matches the Rfam family "Bacterial small subunit ribosomal RNA", at positions 26 to 518 of the family's 1533-position model. The record is from RNAcentral.
AGGACGAACGCUGGCGGCGUGCUUCACACAUGCAAGUCGAACGGGGUCCAACUAGUGGCAACACUAGGGAAGAUCUAGUGGCGAACGGGUGCGUAACACGUGAGGAACCUACCCCGGACUCUGGGAUAACAGCGGGAAACCGCUGCUAAUACCGGAUACCGUCACACGGUCACCUGGCCGAGUGACGAAAGAUUCAUCGGUUCGGGAGGGUCUCGCGGCCUAUCAGCUUGUUGGCGGGGUAACGGCCCACCAAGGCAUCGACGGGUAGCUGGUCUGAGAGGAUGAUCAGCCACACUGGGACUGAGACACGGCCCAGACUCCUACGGGAGGCAGCAGUGGGGAAUAUUGGACAAUGGGCGCAAGCCUGAUCCAGCCAUGCCGCGUGAGUGAUGAAGGCCUUAGGGUUGUAAAGGCUCUUUCAGUGGGGAAGAGUAAUGACGGUACCACAGAAGAGCCCGGCUAACUCGUGCCAGCAGCCGC